This 62-nucleotide transfer RNA is filed under the name Sepia officinalis (common cuttlefish). RNAcentral's name for it is "tRNA-Gly". Lineage: Eukaryota; Metazoa; Mollusca; Cephalopoda; Sepiida; Sepiidae. The record is from RNAcentral.
ACUUUAUUAGUAUAAAAAGUAUGUUUGUUUUCCAAACAAAGGGUUUAAAAUAUUAAAUAAAG